RNAcentral lists this non-coding RNA (56 nucleotides) under marine eukaryotic metagenome. The record is from RNAcentral.
UAACGAGGAAGGAUUUGACUGAUUGCAACCUCGAUAAAAAAUUGCUAAAGCAGUGU